Molecule: small nucleolar RNA, 136 nt
Filed under: Microcebus murinus (gray mouse lemur)
Lineage: Eukaryota; Metazoa; Chordata; Mammalia; Primates; Cheirogaleidae
Source: RNAcentral
GGGUAAAUACGAGGGUUAAAACUUGGUAACCUGUUAUGUCGAGAGAAAAGAUAUUUCUGAUGUGCUAAACAAACCUUUGGAGGUUAAUUAGCAGCAUGACUAAUUAGCCGUUGCUGUCAGUCACCUUCAGACAAAU